GUUGUUAAACGAGCCCGCAUACCCGCCCCGCAAAAUUAGAGUUUGCGGCAGAUGUGGCCCAACAGCUAGUUCUUCGUGGGCUUGCGUUAAACAGCUUACCAAACCCGCGGACAAGAGGGUACGUCCGCAAGGACCCGCAAGAACCCACCAGCCCGGGACCUCCUCGUCUCACAUCUCUCCCACUCCCGAGACCUUCGUCGCCACCGCCACCUCCGCCGCCGCCGCCGAAAUCCGCCUCCACCCUCGCCGGGACCGGAGCACCGAGGACAGCAACGAGGCAAGCGUCAGGUACACCAGCACCUCUCCUUCCCCCAGCCCCGAGCUGCCCCUCAUGCUCUGUUAAGUUGGGCAGAUCGGAGAUCUGUGCUAGGUCUUGGAUCUAGCCGGAUCUAUGUGAACUCCGCCUAGGUAUCAAGCUGCAUCUGCUUCAGGGGCUCUAGCUGCUUAAUUGCGAUCUUUGUGCUGACCGUCGGCUUGGCUGUGACCUACACUGACAUGAGAUGCGAGAGGAGGAACACCAGCUGGCUUCCUGUACAUGGAUGUGUUGUUCUAUGAAUACACCUGCUCAUUUGAUCCUACUUAUAUCGGUUGAGUGAAAUUAAGAAAUCAAUUAUGCAUAUAAUAAUGUUACUAAAUAAUAGAUACCAUGUUUACCAAUUGUGGAUAACAACGUUUAGCUUCUAGUUUUGUUAUAUGGUUCAGAUGUCGGUAGCAGUACAAAACUUAAGUAUGCAGAGCUCAAGGUUUAUGUUCACUAUUUGUUUAUGACAAUUGUUUUUGGUCUUGCUAGGCUUAACCUGCCUUUAUUCUUGCUUGAUAAAAUCUCUAGGUGUAACCGUGCUAAUGGCUAUGCAGAGUUCAAGUUUUUUCCUCAUGUAGCAGCAACAAGAGAUGCUAUUAGAAGGCCCCAUGAGGUAUCAAGUUCACACUGGAAGAAGCUAGCCGUUUAUUGGAAGAAGCUACCAGUUCUUGUUUAUUCAUGCUGAUGUAACAUAAUUCUAAUUUGAAUUCGAUUGAUGAUAGAAAACAUGGUUGUUCUGAGUAUGAAUGCGCCUUUUGACUUUUA
Long non-coding RNA from Panicum virgatum (switchgrass), 1066 nucleotides. RefSeq lists it as uncharacterized. The record is from RefSeq and is a predicted model, not a curated record. NCBI's taxonomy places the organism in Eukaryota, Viridiplantae, Streptophyta, Magnoliopsida, Poales, Poaceae. The transcript is spliced from 2 exons.